Molecule: ribosomal RNA, 492 nt
Filed under: uncultured bacterium
Lineage: Bacteria
Description: partial 16S ribosomal RNA
Rfam family: Bacterial small subunit ribosomal RNA
Source: RNAcentral
GAUGAACGCUAGCUACAGGCUUAACACAUGCAAGUCGAGGGGAAACGGCAUCGAAAGCUUGCUUUUGAUGGGCGUCGACCGGCGCACGGGUGAGUAACGCGUAUCCAACCUGCCCAUCACUUGGGAAUAACCUUGCGAAAGUAAGACUAAUGCCCAAUGACAUCCCACGAAGGCAUCCGAAUGGGAUUACAGAUUUAUCGGUGAUGGAUGGGGAUGCGUCUGAUUAGCUUGUUGGCGGGGUGACGGCCCACCAAGGCAACGAUCAGUAGGGGUUCUGAGAGGAAGGUCCCCCACAUUGGAACUGAGACACGGUCCAAACUCCUACGUGAGGCAGCAGUGAGGAAUAUUGGUCAAUGGGCGAGAGCCUGAACCAGCCAAGUAGCGUGCAGGAUGACGGCCCUAUGGGUUGUAAACUGCUUUUAUAAGGGAAUAAAGUGGGUCACGUGUGACUUUUUGCAUGUACCUUAUGAAUAAGGACCGGCUAAUUCCGUG